Molecule: small nucleolar RNA, 117 nt
Filed under: Chinchilla lanigera (long-tailed chinchilla)
Lineage: Eukaryota; Metazoa; Chordata; Mammalia; Rodentia; Chinchillidae
Description: Small nucleolar RNA SNORA64/SNORA10 family (ENSCLAG00000019970.1)
Rfam family: Small nucleolar RNA SNORA64/SNORA10 family
About the family: This family belongs to the H/ACA class of small nucleolar RNAs (snoRNAs) which act as guides in the the modification of uridines to pseudouridines. This family includes the human snoRNAs U64 and ACA10 and mouse MBI-29.
Source: Rfam by way of RNAcentral
AGUCUGCAUGCUUCCCCUAGUUGUCCUAUGACUUUUGUAUCAGGGAGAGAGAAAGGACCUUCGGGACCUCGGACUGGUCUCCCGGUGGCCUCUCUUUCUUUAAGGGGCACAACAGAC